AUUGAACGCUGGCGGCAUGCUUUACACAUGCAAGUCGAACGGCAGCGCGGGCUUCGGCCUGGCGGCGAGUGGCGAACGGGUGAGUAAUACAUCGGAACGUGCCCAGUAGUGGGGGAUAGCUCGGCGAAAGCCGGAUUAAUACCGCAUACGACCUGAGGGUGAAAGCGGGGGAUCUUCGGACCUCGCGCUAUUGGGGCGGCCGAUGGCAGAUUAGCUAGUUGGUGGGGUAAAGGCCUACCAAGGCGACGAUCUGUAGCUGGUCUGAGAGGACGACCAGCCACACUGGGACUGAGACACGGCCCAGACUCCUACGGGAGGCAGCUGUGGGGAAUUUUGGACAAUGGGCGAAAGCCUGAUCCAGCAAUGCCGCGUGUGUGAUGAAGGCCUUCGGGUUGUAAAGCACUUUUGGCGGGAACGAAAAGGACUGUGCCAAUACCACGGUUCGAUGACGGUACCCGCAGAAUAAGCACCGGCUAACUACGUG
Molecule: ribosomal RNA, 484 nt
Filed under: uncultured bacterium
Lineage: Bacteria
Description: partial 16S ribosomal RNA
Rfam family: Bacterial small subunit ribosomal RNA
Source: RNAcentral